AAAACAGCUUAGGAUAAGGCAAUGGUGGAGCAGCACGAAACGGGAGAAACUACAGGCUUCUCUGUGUGAUUGCCAGCUAGGAGCCUUAGCAGGAAUCCAUUAUCAUCAGUUUUUACUUACAAGAAUGCUUCUGGGACAAAGAUGACCUCUCCAUUAAGAAGUUCCAGGAACCAGUUACUUACAGAAAUGUGGAAGCUGAAGACUGCAUGUCCAGCUGGGCUGGAGCUUCUAUGUACUGUGGAACUGGUAUUUACCUGUGCCUCUGAAUACUGAAACCUCCUUGUCAAGGUAGAAGAAUGAGAAGGACUCUGCGAGAUGUGGCAGAAUGGAGCACAAGGAAGCUCCAGUAGUAUUCAGAGGAAGGAAGGUUGCUGCAGCAAGGAAAUGCUGUGGAAAACUUUUUGUGCUGCUCCACCGCAAUCACGAUCUGAAUUUACUGUCUCCUUUGAAAUGCAUUUGCAAACUGAACAACCUGCAACAGCCCCAUGAAGUAGUUAAGACAGAGCAGAUUGGAAAUAGCCGCUGAUUUUCUGCUGGAAUCAUGCUAGGAUGAUCUCACAAUGAGCCGAAGGCUUUAGCAAGCACACGGUGAGCUACGACAGAGAUGGUUCAAGCUUUUGCUUCACUCUACAGAACUCACGACCUCAAAGAAAAGGCUUGCCUUGCUGAAGCAAAGGGAAAGAACAGAUCGACUUAUCCAGAUUCUCAGUACAUAUCAAUUGUUGUAAAGAACACAGUGGAACCACAAAUAUAUAGAAUACCUGACAACACUGACCCAGAUAUUUCACUUAAAUAGCUGAGGAAAAUUUAAGAGAUGCAUAAAAAUAUCUUCUAGAAAGUUUACGAUAGGUUUUCACUGUUAAAAGUAGACUUUUGCUAUGAGUUAAGUAAUCACAGUCAUGCUAUCCUGAAGUCUGAACACGGAGAGGAUGAUAGACACUGAGGAAACUGUGGUUUUAUUUAUCAUUUGUAUUGUGUGGGAGAGACAGAAACAACAAAAAUAAAGAACUCUGACCUAUUCCUUCAAAGAAAUAUAGGCACUUACCUCUCUGAGGCAGACUUUAGGCAUUUGUUGAAUGAACGGAGCCUUUUACCUGUCACCUUGACUUAGGUGUCAAAGACACGAAGUGUACUCAGGUGUCUAAACCUUUGUCCCUAAUAGAAAAGCUGUCUGAUAUCUCAUUUAUUACAAGUCACUACAUGGGAAGGCUAAUUACUACCAGACACAAAGCUCUGCUUACUGUCUUAUUAGUAUUAUAUCACAGAGACUCUGAGAAAAAGGGAUGAACAUCAAGUUUGUUGAAAGUCAUUGUGCCAGGCUGACAUCAUCCAUUGAGGUGUCUUUUUGGUCUAUACAGAAAUUAUCAAAUACAUGGUGCUUCAAAGUGAUAAUCGCUGCCUGAGAGUUAGUAGCUGUACUGUAUUGCUAAGAGAAGAGUCCUUAUUCCCAAAGAGCAUCCCACUGCUGUGGGACUUUUUCAUAUUCUUAUGCUGAUGCUGGACUCUUUUCCUCUUACUUCAAUUGAAUCCAUGGUCAGAGUUGAAAGUUUGUGCGUAUUCCUUCUUAGUAUCUUGUGCAGAAUUUCGUCUACAAUACCUACAGAGAAGGUCAAAUGGAGAUUCUUACAUCUGACUCAGGGAGGACAGACUGACUCAGCUAUGCAAACAAAAAAAAACCCACCUCUAUUACGGGGUGAAGAGAUUGACCUUUAGACAUAGCAGCGAUAGCAGAAUGGAACAGUCAUAAAGCUAUUAACCAAAGGAGUUUGACAAUCUCAAGUCACAAUGAAAGAAUUUAUUUUAAUCUUUCAUUUUUGAAAUUCAUUGUUGCUGAAAUAAAAUUGGCUUAUGUGGACAAGUUUUAGUUAGGGGUCUACACAAAAUGAAAAAUCCUACAUUAGUCACAGAAUAAGUCCAGAGCUGAUCUGGGGUUGGUUUUCUCCCGGACUUUAUUCUCUGACUAUAAAUAUUAACAGUAAGUCUCGUAAUUAAAGUUUUAUAAUCCUGGGCAGGGUGAUAAGUUAUUACAGGCUUGAAAACAUGAAUUUUCAGCUAAAAUGGAAAAAAAAAACUCUACGCACAGCAACAAAAAUGCCUCAGCAACUGCAUAGCUGGACAUUUAGAGUUAAAUUUAUAAUUUUUUAGUUUUUUUCAGAGUAUCAGUGCUACAUGGUCUGGAGUUUGUUUGCAGUGCAGACACCUGAGUUGGUUCCACAACACUAAAUGCACUGUGCAGUUUUGUCUGGAACCUGCUCCAUAGAAUUUGCUUAAGACCUAAAAACAGUAUGAAAAUGAACAACAAGCAAAGUCUGAAAUUUUUAGUCAUUGCACAGACCUUUACUAGGAAAGUCUUUUGCUGUGAGGAGUCUGCAAUGCAAAUAAACAAGAUAGGAAAUGACAGGCGGAGAUAGCAUUGAGGAAGUGAUUUGACUAAAGUAACAAUGGAUGACUGCAGUAUAGCAUCUGGCUCCCCUUGCUUCAUAAGUUCAAGUUGCAAGUGUUUUGCCCAUUUUACAGACACAUUAUUUGUCCAAACUCAAUUCUGGUAUCUAUUUUAAAAGUCAUAUCAAAACAUGAUGUUGUUAUCAUCCCAAUGAUCUUAAAACAUCUUUAAAUGGUUUACUUUUCAAGUCUUUUCACUUGCCCAGGGAGUAAACCCCGCUGUUUACAGACUCUUGUGUUCCAGACACCAUUGGACUGUCUUUAUUCACUCCACUGGUGAAUGAUUAGAUGAUCAUUUGAAAGAGGCAUGUAUCCUGUCUCCUAGGAAAGCUGUGUUCUCAAAAGUUUGCCACUUGUUCAUUUGAACAUUAUUUUAUUUGCCAGAGUACCAGGGGGCAUGGAAACACUGGAGCUUCCCACUGUAAAACGAGAAACUGUGGAGCUGGCAUGUUGAGCUAAGAAAGCUUGUGUCUUCUUUCUACCAAGGAGCAGUGCAGGGUGCUUUCAGGAAAUGUCCCAACACUCUCAUCAUGGACAGUUAUUUUAGACUAUUCCAUUGUCUACCAGUCCUGAAUCUCACUGUAAUGGCAACUUGAAAGAUCUGUGGUCUGCUACUUAAUAGGACAUUAUCCGAGAUGUUGAUUUCUCUUUUUGCAUUCUUAAUACAAAAUUGGUUUUCAGGAAUAACAGAUGCAGCAAACUUUUUACCUCCUGGGAGCCUGAAACAUAAACUGCCGUUUUGCUGGCUGGCUUCUUGACAAAGAUGAGACGCUGACUGCAAAGGACACGAGUGAUAUCUCAGCAUCGUGAAUUCUGAUCACUGUCACCUCCCUCGUGCAUGGUUACAAUGCAUCCUGGAAAGCCUCUGUCAAUGAACAAUCCAAUAGGUCCAAUGCAAUGAGACUACUUCUGAAUAACUGGCUCAAAUCCAGGACAGAAAUUUUUCAUCCUGAACCUAUAUCCCCUUCUUAGCCUCUUGCCCCUUCUAUGCCUUUAAGCUGCAAAAUCCUUCUGAGGAACUUUUCCUAGAAAAAGAGUGUGCAUUGCCCAACACAUUCAGGCCUUGCUCCUGCUUAAGUCCUCAACAGAGCUCAACAGAGUAUCCAGUACUAUGAAUAUCAUCCUAAUUCAAGGAGAAGCAUUAAAUACUUGUUGGUUUGCUUUUCUGAGUAUUCACAAUCCUUAGGGAAAAAUCUUAGAAAAUAUUGGUUUAAGAAUAUUUUUCCUAAUGCUCAAGCUGGUUAAAGGUGCUGAAGAAUAUUAUGGGCAUGUCUAGAUGAAUGACAGCAGCACUACAGAAUGAAGUACAUUGUCAAAAUCAGUGGAGACCACCAACGAAACACUUGAGGCUCUUAACUGUGAGGAAUAAAAAGCUGGAGGCAUGAUAUUGGAGGCAAGAAGGCUACUAAAGGCAUCCUUGGGGAUGAUCUUUUGUAUUCUCCUAGCAAAUAAAAGAAUUCCAGUGAGAGGAAACAAAAGACCUGAACAGCAGGAAUAUUUUGGGACUGGAGCCAGGGAAAAGAGUCAGUAACAAAGACUGGUAAUUUUGCAUGAAUUGCUGUUUUGUGUUGUUGAGCACCAAGACACAGCUGGUGUACUGGUGAACCUGAGAAUUUGUAUUAACUGUAUUGAAAUGAUAAUGAAGUUUUUAUUUUAUGAUUGCAGAUGUUGGUGGAUUAUUGUUAUUAAGCCUAUUAGUGUAAUAGUAAGAAUAUGAGUUCCUCUUUACUUACAGUCUUAUUUGUUGUAGGUUUGUGAAAUUAAAUUUAGAUAGUUAUUAAAUAAUUUAAAAUAACAUAGAAGGUCAAUUGAGGAAAUAAAAGCCCAGAGACAAAGGUAAAGUAGUUUGACAGAUUCAGACUCUUGAGAAUUUGGAGUGAACUCAAAGCAUUCUUCUGUUACACUCUGGACACGCUCUUAGUGGUUCUAUAUGGUGAUACAAGUACAGCAGAAGAAAUAGAGAGAUCUGGGGUUGGUUUAUGAACCAUUGAAAGAACAAUAGUCCAUUUUACAAAUUGGUUUCUCCCUUUGCCUCAUCUGAAAAAAAAAAAAAAACCCAAACCAUCAAAUAUCUAGUGACUUGGGAUGUCUAGAUUUCUGGCUGCCUAACGUGAAGCAACUCCAAGUUGCUCUGUUUUCAGAGAGGAGGCUCUGUGUUCAAGAUUUCAGUGAACUAGUCUUUGAGUAUCUCAGCUGAACAUCCAACAUAGUAACCUUAGCUGUAAAUAUUAUCUUGCUAUAUGAGAGAUGCAUUUUUCAGUAUAGUGACCAAGUUGUUUCUUUCUUUUAAUAAGAAACUCAUAAAAUGCAUGUGCUAGGUCACUUGACUUGUAUAUGAUUUAAGUGUAUAUUAAAUACAUUAAGACAGUUCACUACUUUUACAAACUUGCAAUCUUUGUGUUAGACAACAGUUAGGGAUUUCCCCACAACAACCCUGUUGUUGCCCCUUCCCAAACUAUCUUUUUUUUGAGGCAGUACUUACUGUGAAGUUGUGCUCACAAAUGCGAAGCUCUAGUUUUUUAAUAUACCUCUCCAGGCUGUGGUAUGCAGCCUUUGGCAGCUAACCAGCCAGCCAGUGACAUGUGGUUGCUUUCCAGAAGAAAGGCAUGCUGCAAAUAGAAAGAGCGCUGCGCUCCCACACGGAAAUCUUGCAUGGGAGACCUCAAAGGUAUUGAAAACAAGGAAAAUCACAAAAGGAUCACUCUGGCCCACUUGCUUGGCUGCAGGUAUCUGGAUAUGGACUGUGGCUGAUUCAGUGCCUGCUGAUGCCCCUGAAGCAUUAGCUAGGGCAAAACUUUUGGACAAUGUGUAAGUGUUAUGAUGAGCCUUUCUCUCUGCUCAUGUGUGUGAUCAGCCAGCUCAGAGACAAAAUCACAAUUUUUCGUAGAGAGUACUAAGUUUUACACCUUUUCUCUGAGCUAUGAGUUAAGCCUCUGCUUUCAAAAGGAGGAAUGAACUGCUGGGUUUGAAUAGCUUGGGAAAGAACUUUUAACUCUUGUCUAUGUGUAUACUUUGAGACAUAUAAACAAAACAUCCACUGAAAGCCUAGUCCUUGGAAAUCAUAAAAUAAAUAUUUUCCACUUCCUCUUAACUAUAGCAAUUCCACAGAUGUUCUUUGCACACCACUCUCAUGCAGAAAAUUCAUAACAAUAAAACUCUAGAAAAACAUCUGCUUAGAAACAAGAUUGGCAAUUUUUAAUGUUCUCACUAUGUUGUUAGCCAUUCCUUCUUACUUUCAUUCACUUUGCAACAAAAAAAGGUCAUCCUAGAAAAAGCGAAAAAGGUCUUUGAGGGGUGAUAGCUGUAAGGUACAGAAAAAGGCUGGUGAAAUUAUGGAACUUUUAUGUGAAUCUCUGUAGUAGCACAGCCAUUUACAUUAUGAGAGACUGUAUAUGUGUGUGCACAGGUGUGUGCAUUUAUAUGGAGAUGCACACACAAACUUACAGCCAUUCCUUAAGAAGUAACAUCACAAUUUUCCUUUUCAAUGCAGUCAAAAUAAAAUAAACAUCAAUCUUCCAGUGCAGCCUAGGCAGUGACAGGGUAAGCUCCCACGUUAUGCUGCCAACAAGCUUCCUGGGCUGAGAAGUCCGUUCCUUUCUUGCCCUCUUGGCUGAGCCUACCUGUAGACACGCCAACAAGCAUUAAGAGUUAUAGUGCUUUCUGUUAUGACAUCUAGCUCAUCAGACUACUAAACCACCUGCUUGAUUUUGAGCACGGGGAAUAUUUCCUUAUUCAGGUACAUUCACAAUUCCUGUAGCUGAACAGGCAUCAGAUUAGUCAGAAAAUUUAACAGGCAGCAUUUACAAUCUCAUUUCACACAGACUACGAAAUGAUGACAGCAAGGAGUCACUGCUUUCCUGGCCUCUGUCUGAACUGCUGCUUUGGAGCCAAGAGGCAAAGUAACAUUUUCUGUAAGUCCUGUGUUCUCUGAUUUUUUUUUAAUGAGUCCAUUUUAAUACCAAAAAAUAAUUGUCUUCAAAAAAUGUGCACAACCUCCAUUCUCCUGAAGUAUAUGACUGUCAAGAGGCAAGUCCGAAAAAGAUUGUAUCAAUUCAUUUUGUUCAUAUGACUCAGAACUGAGAGGCAGUGCAAUGCUCAAAAUUGUUUCACAGCCAACACGGUAGCUUAGAGUUCCCAGACUCGGCAGAAGGUAGAACUGACAAAAAAUUGUGAGAUGAACCGUAAGUGAAAAUGAAGUGAUUCUGUUCACUGCUUAAGGUGAUUCUGUAUUUGUAUCAACAAAAGUCCUGUUGAUUUAGCAUGAUUAUGCUAAUGCAUAAUUUAAUUAAUGGUAGCUUGGAGACAGUUUUGUGAUUUCAGUGCAUAUCAGAGAAUUGAAGUUAGGCCAACAGAAUAUUCAGAUACCAAACAGUUCUGAAACAUCCAUCUAUAUUUGUUCAUUUUGGAUGUCCAGAUAGACAUUUUGGGAAGAUAUGAUGAAUACUUUCAGAAGCUGACCUUAUGUGACUAGAAACAUCAUGUGUUUACCUUAAUUUCAAGUCCUUGCAAAGGUUGUCUGUCGCCCUUUAAAAUUAUACUAAUAAGCUUAAAAAUUAAAAUCCUAUAAACAAAUCAAAAUAAAAGUAUAAGACAUAAGUAUACCCCUAUUUCACUAUUCAGCAGUUUUGUUUAUAGAUGCUAGGACAAGAAUGUGAAUUUUGAGUAGCUAGAAAUACACAGAUAUCUUCACAGAUAUAUAUUCACAGAGAUAUUUCUGCAAGGAGCUCAACCUGCCCGAAUUUUGACUUGGGCACAUGUCCAAUAAUAAUUGAACAAAAGAAGGAACUGCACAAGAAACCACCUCUGAAAGCAGAACUUCCACAAUUUCACACUGAGGCACAUAAAUCCAGAGACCACCCCUUAGUUAUACCUGUACUGAUAGUUCUGCUCUACCUUUAUUGUUAGCAAUUACUUCUCUUCUACCAAGGGCUUCUGUAAGGUUUUCUGAAUGGUUGCUUCUGGCAGGGCUCAGUGCGUAAUUAGCAGUAUUAUCUUCCAUAACAAGGAUGGUGUAUAUCAGACUGUGCAUUAUUAACUACUCUGCUCUAAGAAGACCUGCUGAAACUUUUCAGUUUGAUAUUAGAGCAUUGUCUGAUUUCUACUAAUUACAAUGGAAUAAUUUGUUUGACUAACACUGUAAGAUGUAAUUCUAGAAGUAGUAAUUUUAGCAAACUGUAUUUUCUGAACAAAGUACUUUGGGGAUCAUAAAGUAUUAAGAUAUUUUACUAUUUUUAAUAUGUAAAUAAAAUGAGUUAAGGGUAUCAUCCUGAAUAGAAGUCAAAAUGAAGCUUAUUUUUGAAGGGAUAAAUACUGUAUAUUCAAACACAUGCGUAAGAAUGUUCUAUAUCUGAUAUCACUAACAAAUAUACAGAAGGAAUAUAUAUGUUAAUUAUUUUUUAAGAUCCUUGACUCAUAAUCUUAAGCAAAUACCUACCAGAAAAUUAGUGAGCAACAAUGUCAAUAAUUCCACAAGAAUUGCGAAAGAAAGAGAUUUUCAGGAUAGUUUUAUCCUAAGUUCGAAUGAAAGAAAUAAAACGUUGUUUUAAGAAAUGAACCAGGCAAAACACAUUUUACUAUGGUUUUAAAGAUAUAGGGUUCCUCAGAACAGUGGCCAGCCAGACAAGAUGUUCCAGCACCCUGAGAUGCCAAGAAGGUCUGUAUUGACCCUUCAUCACUUUCUGAAAAGAAAUUUCACACUGGUUAUGAGUUACCCUCUUAGCAAAGGUUUUUCUCAAAAGAAAUACAUUUUAUUGAAAUUUUUCUAUACUGAUAAAUUAGUAUUUUCCAAUAUAAAAGCAUUCCACUUACCUCUGAGCAGUUCAGCAAUGUUUCUUACAAGCCAUUCCACUACAGAGGCAUAAAACCAGCCAAACAGGUGGCCACCACGUCAACAUGGCACCAGACCGACAUUCCUCAGGCUGAGCUUCAGCCAACAGCUUAGCUGAAGUCACUCUGAUGUCUAAUCUGAAAAUCACAUUUAGUUGGAAAAGUACAGAAAGUAAUUUUAUACCCAAAUCUCAAGAACCUGACAAUGCUCUUCAAUUCAUAAUUCCCAAGUUUUUGUAUAAACUUCUUCAUAUCAUCUGUGCUUUGGGAAAUUUUAAUUUCAUUACGGCUCUCCUAUAUGUUUUCUUAUACAAUUUGUAUUUCCUCCAGAGAUGACACCAACAUAGAGCUACUGGAUGUAUGUGAAUUUGUCUUGUUUUCUUUAAGCAGUUUCUGAAGGUUGAGUCUAUUUUGUUGAUAGCAGAUUGAGCAUGUGCAGAUGUUCCCGUCUUACAUGAGUAGCAUUUUUGGAGUGUUAAGUCUAAAUCCAGUUGUGUGAACGAUGCAGAGAACUUGAAAGAAGUUGCAAUUUUUAAUUCACUGGUGGAGAAUCGCUACUGACCUUGAGAGAACUGUAAGGAAAGUGAGUCCAUGGGAAGUCAUUUUUACUUAUGCACCAUGCGUGCUUCUGCUUACACUACUGCAGAAUCCUGUGAGGAAGUCAACACGCACCAACAUUUAAUACACAAUCUGUAAACUAUUAACAUUUAAUUUAGGAUUAUUCAGUAUAAAUUCAUUUUAUAUCAACAGUAAUGAGUGCUUUUUUACAGAUUGUGACAGUAUUUGUUCUUAACAUUACACUGACUGUAGGCUGAUUGACAAUUUCGAACUAUAUUCCAGUAGCCCAAAAUAAUGUACUCCCACUCUCAGCUUGUGCUUGAAUAUUCAAAUCUGCAGCUGUAGGAGUAAAAUAGAAGACAGAGAAGUGGGAAAAAAAUUAAAUCUCACUGAGAUUCCAGGUGUCGGAUGUUUGAUAUUGGCUCACCUCAAUGAACACUCUUUCCUUAGAUAUUUGGACCCUAUUAUAGUCCCCACAGAAAAGUUUCAAAUUUAACAUGCUAGUCUUGCAAAUUCUUGUUUAAUAGCAAUGCAAAUAAAGUGGGCCAAUGAACUACUAAUGUUUCUUACCCAUUUCAGCACUGUUGGAUUAAAUCCUGAACAUGAAUUUCAAAAUUAUUCUUAUAAACACAAAAAUUUUGAUUCUUAAAAUCAGACAACUCUUUGAGGUUGGUUUCUUCAGUAUGAACCUUUAGACCAGAACUGUAUCAGCAAGCUACUUUCUGGAUAUGCCUCUGUACAUCCGAAUGGCUGCAAUCACAAUGUUUAGGCCAUGCUAGCUUGUUAAUAUUCGAAAGCUCUGUAUGUAUGCGCAAGAUGAGUUUAAGGGUCUAUUAUCUCACUUGCAUAAACAAACAACUGCUUGUGAAACAAUUUAGCAUCUGGCUUUACAGCAAGAAUUAAUUAUUGAUGUUUGUUAUUAUAUUACUGCUAUGGAUAAAAAAGGAAAGCCCACUUCAAAAUGAAGAGAGUUCAUCGUAGCAUCUUAACAGUCUUAUACUGUUUUCUUAGCACAGAAGAAUCUGUGAUACUUAACCACUUCUGUUGUUUAAAAUGAAGGCUAUUCAGAAUGAGAAAAGAAAUGUUCUCCCAUCCUCUAUAUCCAAUCAAGGCUGAUAUCUGGAUAAAGGGCUUAAAAGACUUAAAUUUAGUAAGUCAUGCAUUCAGGGCACCAGUCAAAAGCUACAGCCUCUCGCACUGAAAAUUAAGUAACAGACCUUUUUCACAUAUUCAGUCUGUUAGGCUUUGCAGAAGACUGCAGAAAUAGUAUCAAUUGCCUUUAGAGAUUCUGCAGUCUCCAUUGUCUUGCAGCAAGUGUGGAACAUUUGGGUCUUUCCAGUCCUUAGUUAAUCUCCUCUCCAGGCAAUAAAUGCCACUCUGUAAAGAAAGGAUAGGAUUCAGGAAGUAUAGUGAGGUUGCUAUGGUUUGCUUUUCUGCAUUGUUUUAAUCAUGUUACGGAGACUAGAAAGGCAAUGUGAGCCCCAUAAAAAAUAAUUUCCAUCAAUAUAUUUUUUCAUUAUCAUAACGUAUUGCACCUUUAUGAUUAAUCCCUUCAUUGCAAAGAAAAAAUA
This is a long non-coding RNA of Cuculus canorus (common cuckoo), 10397 nucleotides long. RefSeq lists it as uncharacterized. Lineage: Eukaryota; Metazoa; Chordata; Aves; Cuculiformes; Cuculidae. The transcript is spliced from 3 exons. The record is from RefSeq and is a predicted model, not a curated record.